Molecule: ribosomal RNA, 509 nt
Filed under: uncultured bacterium
Lineage: Bacteria
Description: bacterial SSU rRNA
Rfam family: Bacterial small subunit ribosomal RNA
Source: RNAcentral
AACGAACGCUGGCGGCGUGCUUAACACAUGCAAGUCGAACGCGAAAGGGACUUCGGUCCUGAGUAAAGUGGCGCACGGGUGAGUAACGCGUAGAUAACCUGUCUUCAUGUCUGGAAUAAUACGCCAAAGGGGUACUAAUACCGGAUAUCUUGCUUUUCAUAAGUUAUGCAAGCAAAGGUGGCCUCUGCAUAUGCUACUGCAUGAAGAGGGGUCUGCGUACCAUUAGCUAGUAGGUGGGGUAAUGGCCUACCUAGGCGACGAUGGUUAGCGGGUCUGAGAGGAUGAUCCGCCACACUGGCACUGGAACACGGGCCAGACUCCUACGGGAGGCAGCAGUGAGGAAUAUUGCGCAAUGGGGGAAACCCUGACGCAGCGACGCCGCGUGAGUUGAGGAAGGCCUUCGGGUCGUAAAGCUCUGUCAAGAGGAAAGAAGUGUACAAUGGCUAAUACCUGUUGUAUUUGACGGUACCUCUAAAGGAAGCACCGGCUAACUCCGUGCCAGCCGCGGC